Molecule: ribosomal RNA, 492 nt
Filed under: uncultured bacterium
Lineage: Bacteria
Description: partial 16S ribosomal RNA
Rfam family: Bacterial small subunit ribosomal RNA
Source: RNAcentral
AGUGAACGCUGGCGGUAGGCCUAACACAUGCAAGUCGAACGGCAGCACAGUAAGAGCUUGCUCUUACGGGUGGCGAGUGGCGGACGGGUGAGGAAUACAUCGGAAUCUACUUUUUCGUGGGGGAUAACGUAGGGAAACUUACGCUAAUACCGCAUACGACCUACGGGUGAAAGCAGGGGAUCUUCGGACCUUGCGCGAUUGAAUGAGCCGAUGUCGGAUUAGCUAGUUGGCGGGGUAAAGGCCCACCAAGGCGACGAUCCGUAGCUGGUCUGAGAGGAUGAUCAGCCACACUGGAACUGAGACACGGUCCAGACUCCUAAGGGAAGCAGCAGUGGGGAAUAUUGGAGAAUGGGCGCAAGCCUGAUCCAGCCAUACCGCGUGGGUGAAGAAGGCCUUCGGGUUGUAAAGCCCUUUUGUUGGGAAAGAAAAGCAGCAGGUUAAUACCCCGCUGUUCUGACGGUACCCAAAGAAUAAGCACCGGCUAACUUCGUG